RNAcentral lists this transfer RNA (73 nucleotides) under Leptospirillum ferrodiazotrophum. It matches the Rfam family "tRNA". Rfam says of the family: Transfer RNA (tRNA) molecules are approximately 80 nucleotides in length. The record is from Rfam by way of RNAcentral. Lineage: Bacteria; Pseudomonadati; Nitrospirota; Nitrospiria; Nitrospirales; Nitrospiraceae.
GGGGCUGUGGCGCAGUUGGGAGCGCGCAAGACUGGCAGUCUUGAGGUCACGGGUUCGACCCCCGUCAGCUCCA